CAAUAGCGUAUAUUAAAGUUGUUGCGGUAAAAAAGCUCGUAGUUGGAUUUCUGUUGAGAGCGACCGGUCCAUACCAUGUAUGCGUAUCUGGCUUGCUCUCGGCAUCCUCUCGAUAGACGUUACUGCGCUUGAUUGCGUGGUGCGGAUCUCGGGACUUUUACUUUGAGGAAAUUAGAGUGUUCACGGCAGGCUUUCGCCAGAAUACAUUAGCAUGGAAUAAUACUAUAGGAUCUUGGUUCUAUUUUGUUGGUUUCUAGAAUUGAGAUAAUGAUUAAUAGGGACAAUUGGGGGCAUUCGUAUCAACACGUCAGAGGUGGAAUUCUUGGAUUGUGUUGCGACGAACUACUGCGAAAGCAUUUGCCAAGGAUGUUUUCAUUAA
RNAcentral lists this ribosomal RNA (379 nucleotides) under uncultured eukaryote. RNAcentral's name for it is "partial 18S ribosomal RNA". It matches the Rfam family "Eukaryotic small subunit ribosomal RNA", at positions 592 to 976 of the family's 1831-position model. The record is from RNAcentral.